RNAcentral lists this long non-coding RNA (423 nucleotides) under Helianthus annuus (common sunflower). The record is from RNAcentral. Lineage: Eukaryota; Viridiplantae; Streptophyta; Magnoliopsida; Asterales; Asteraceae.
UUCGACUAAACACAGGGGGCGACCAGGAAGUUCCCCUUCAAACCCUAACUCUUACAAAACUCACAAAUUGAAGGCUCAAAUCAAGUCCAAAUCGAAAUCUGAAUAUAGAUUAGUGAUCACCUCGGCGAAGGGAUCAUAAGGCAAGGAAACCGGGACGCCAAGCGGACAAGCUAGUGGCGAUAUGCAUUUGAAAGGAUUGCUCUAAAGGUACGUGACUUUGGUCCCGUUACAUUACGUAUAAACGUUUGGUUUUAGCUUGUUAAUGGUAAUGCUCGUUUCGUUAUGGAUGUUGAUCAAGCAAGGAAAUCAAGAACAGAACACAAGUUUUGAAUGCUUCCGCGAUAAUCUAAUCUAGUUCAAACCAUGUUGUUUUGUAAACACUUCUAAACGUUGAAUAUUUUAAUCUAGUUAGUUGACUAUAUU